GACGACGCUGGCGGCGUGCCUAACACAUGCAAGUCGAGCGGAGUCGAUCGACGGAAGCCUUCGGGCGGAAGAUGGUUGACUUAGCGGCGGAUGGGUGAGUAAUGCGUGGGCAACCUGCCUCGAAGACCGGGAUAACAGCCCGAAAGGGCUGCUAAUACCGGAUGUGGUCAAGGAUCCGCAUGGAUUUUUGAUUAAAGGGGAAACCCGUUUCGAGAUGGGCCCGCGUCCUAUCAGCUAGUUGGUGAGGUAAAAGCUCACCAAGGCGACGACGGGUAGCCGGCCUGAGAGGGUGACCGGCCACACUGGAACUGAGACACGGUCCAGACUCCUACGGGGGGCAGCAGUGGGGAAUCUUCCACAAUGGGCGAAAGCCUGAUGGAGCGACGCCGCGUGAGCGAAGAAGGCCUUCGGGUUGUAAAGCUCUGUCUGGAGGGACGAAGGAAGUGACGGUACCUCCGGAGGAAGCCACGGCUAACUACGUG
RNAcentral lists this ribosomal RNA (482 nucleotides) under uncultured bacterium. RNAcentral's name for it is "bacterial SSU rRNA". It matches the Rfam family "Bacterial small subunit ribosomal RNA", at positions 33 to 507 of the family's 1533-position model. The record is from RNAcentral.